This 29-nucleotide non-coding RNA is filed under the name Mus musculus (house mouse). The record is from RNAcentral. Lineage: Eukaryota; Metazoa; Chordata; Mammalia; Rodentia; Muridae.
ACUUAUUACCCUGAGGCAAUUCUCUGUCU